This 286-nucleotide long non-coding RNA is filed under the name Mytilus galloprovincialis (Mediterranean mussel). The record is from RNAcentral. Lineage: Eukaryota; Metazoa; Mollusca; Bivalvia; Mytilida; Mytilidae.
UUUUUAGCUCACCUGGCCCGAAGGGCCAAGUGAGCUUUUCUCAUCACUUGGCGUCCGGCGUCGUCCGGCGUCCGUCGUCCGUCGUCGUUAACUUUUACAAAAAUCUUCUCCUCUGAAACUACUGGGCCAAAUUUAACCAAACUUGGCCACAAUCAUCAUUGGGGUAUCUAGUUUAAAAAAUGUGUUUGGUUACCCGGCCAACCAACCAAGAUGGCCGCCAUGGCUAAAAAUAGAACAUAGGGGUCAAAUGCAGUUUUUGGCUUAUAACUCUGAAACCGAAGCAUUU